AGAUGGCGACCGGCGCACGGGUGAGUAACACGUAUCCAACCUGCCGAUAACUCGGGGAUAGCCUUUCGAAAGAAAGAUUAAUACCCGAUGGCAUAAUAGAACCGCAUGGUUUGAUUAUUAAAGAAUUUCGGUUAUCGAUGGGGAUGCGUUCCAUUAGGCAGUUGGUGGGGUAAUGGCCCACCAAGACUACGAUGGAUAGGGGUUCUGAGAGGAAGGUCCCCCACAUUGGAACUGAGACACGGUCCAAACUCCUACGGGAGGCAGCAUG
RNAcentral lists this ribosomal RNA (268 nucleotides) under uncultured bacterium. RNAcentral describes it as "partial 16S ribosomal RNA". It matches the Rfam family "Bacterial small subunit ribosomal RNA", at positions 86 to 353 of the family's 1533-position model. The record is from RNAcentral.